RNAcentral lists this ribosomal RNA (60 nucleotides) under Oncidium crocidipterum. RNAcentral describes it as "partial 18S ribosomal RNA". It matches the Rfam family "Eukaryotic small subunit ribosomal RNA", at positions 1772 to 1831 of the family's 1831-position model. Lineage: Eukaryota; Viridiplantae; Streptophyta; Magnoliopsida; Asparagales; Orchidaceae. The record is from RNAcentral.
UUUAGAGGAAGGAGAAGUCCUCGCAAGGUUUCCGUAGGUGAACCUGCGGAAGGAUCAUUG